UCUCUGUGCUAAGUAGUACUGCCGCAGGGAGUGCUGCGGACUGAUUCUAUCCCCUGCGCAGUCCUACUUACAACAGGGA
Molecule: non-coding RNA, 79 nt
Organism: Branchiostoma belcheri (Belcher's lancelet)
Lineage: Eukaryota; Metazoa; Chordata; Leptocardii; Amphioxiformes; Branchiostomatidae
Source: Rfam